This 721-nucleotide ribosomal RNA is filed under the name Aspergillus apicalis. Its description in RNAcentral is "LSU rRNA". It matches the Rfam family "Eukaryotic large subunit ribosomal RNA", at positions 74 to 810 of the family's 3401-position model. The record is from RNAcentral. Lineage: Eukaryota; Fungi; Ascomycota; Eurotiomycetes; Eurotiales; Aspergillaceae.
AUUGCCUCAGUAACGGCGAGUGAAGCGGCAAGAGCUCAAAUUUGAAAGCUGGCUCCUUCGGGGUCCGCAUUGUAAUUUGCAGAGGAUGCUUCGGGCGUGGCCCCCGUCUAAGUGCCCUGGAAGGGGCCGUCAUAGAGGGUGAGAAUCCCGUCUGGGACGGGGUGUCCGUGUCCGUGUGAAGCUCCUUCGACGAGUCGAGUUGUUUGGGAAUGCAGCUCUAAAUGGGUGGUAAAUUUCAUCUAAAGCUAAAUACUGGCCGGAGACCGAUAGCGCACAAGUAGAGUGAUCGAAAGAUGAAAAGCACUUUGAAAAGAGAGUUAAACAGCACGUGAAAUUGUUGAAAGGGAAGCGUUUGCGACCAGACUCGCUCGCGGGGUUCAGCCGGCAUUCGUGCCGGUGUACUUCCCCGUGGGCGGGCCAGCGUCGGUUUGGGCGGCCGGUCAAAGGCCUCCGGAAUGUAUCACCUCUCGGGGUGUCUUAUAGCCGGGGUGCAAUGCGGCCUGCCUGGACCGAGGAACGCGCUUCGGCUCGGACGCUGGCGUAAUGGUCGUAAAAUGACCCGUCUUGAAACACGGACCAAGGAGUCUAACAUCUACGCGAGUGUUCGGGUGUCAAACCCGUACGCGCAGUGAAAGCGAACGGAGGUGGGAGCCCCCUCGUGGGGCGCACCAUCGACCGAUCCUGAUGUCUUAUGGAUGGAUUUGAGUAAGAGCGUAAUGUG